GCACGCUUACUUUAUUACUAACAUCUUAAUCCAAAAUUUCAAUCCAAUACUCUUUUAAGGAAAAUGGGGUGGUUGCAUAAUCAAUCUUAUUAUUACUACUAUUGAAAAUAAGCUGGUAGGUAUAUCCUGGCAGAAC
Hibiscus syriacus is the source of this 136-nucleotide long non-coding RNA. RefSeq lists it as uncharacterized. The transcript is spliced from 2 exons. The record is from RefSeq and is a predicted model, not a curated record. NCBI's taxonomy places the organism in Eukaryota, Viridiplantae, Streptophyta, Magnoliopsida, Malvales, Malvaceae.